CUGGACUAGGGAUGCGCGGGACCGCAGAGCCGCGUGCUGGGGGCCACGUGCGCCCGUCCGCGCCUGCGCGCUGCGUCCCUCGCCACACCCAGCCCUUCCGCGCCCUAGAGCCGCCGGUCAAGGCGAUCGCGUCCUUUCGUCCUUGGGCGUCCAGGCCGAGGUGGCCGGAAGGACGUGCACUCUCCUUUAAUUACAGCUGAUACUUUUUGAGCUCUUCCUAAGGACCACGCACGUCUCCACGGGUUUACACAGCGGUAAAUCAAAUCUAUCGGCAUUCAUGUGAACCGUACACGUAGUGAUUUGGGACUGGAAUUUCACCCAGACGGGAGGAUUUCUCAAAGUUCAUUACAGGUUUUGGGUGCCCCCUUGAGUUCUGCCCCACAGACGAGUGCCUCACUCAUGGCAUUAACGGCAGCUAGUGCUUGAGCAGCAUUAAUGGAAGAUUUCUGUCCAGCCUGAGGGUCGUGGUCUGAAGAAUGGUGCUCAGUUCUGACCCAUCCAGACCUCCAAGCAGAAGGAGUGGGAAGGAAGCAGAGGACUUUGAGACUUGCUCCUCUGUUGGCUUCACCCAAGCCAGUUCCGACACACCGGGGCAGCCUGCCCUUUCCAAGGCUUGACAAUGUAAACGUGAUCAGUAGAAGUAGAGAUCGUCUACAUUUAAAAGAAAGAAACCCCAGAACCAAAAAACUGGGGCCCAAGUCACGAGAUCACCAUCCAUUGACACUAUUCAAUCUGCAGACACUUUUAGAAUCAGCUGGAAUAAUGUUAUGUAAAUUUCAUACAUAAAAAAAAUACCAUCAAGCCAUCUACUGAAGCUGGCAAGCUUGCAUCUCUAGUUAGCUACAGAUGGAGCUGGAGGCCUAUGUCCCUAGAGAGCCUGAAGACAAAUAGAAAUGAGAAUUAGUGGCAAAAAGAGUACUUAGUAAGGCUCAGGAGGACCUUAAUAAAUGUUUAUUGACUGGUGUUAGGAAAGAGUAUAAACCUAAAUGUGAUUUAUUCCCACUAGGGUAUUUAAACAUUUUAACAGUAAGGUUUAACAAAGGGCCACGUGGUAGAAGCUGCUCCGGCUGGGAGUGGGGGUGGGGGAAUUGAUAAGGGCCUGGCUGUACCUGUUUGAGUUUUUUUUAAACCUACCAAUAAGAUUAAGACAAAUGUAAAGGAAAGAUAUAACUGGCUUAGGCGACUUCCGGGGAAGAAUGUGAACCCUGUAGUACUCAGCCAAUGAGGAACCAGGGGAGGGACUUGCGCACUAGGAUAUAAAUUAUUGGCGCCAAACUCCCCAGAUGUGCCUGCCCACCGGACACCUGAUCUUGCAAGACCGUCAUUAAAGCCUCGCUCCGCUGUUC
Long non-coding RNA from Manis pentadactyla (Chinese pangolin), 1346 nucleotides. RefSeq lists it as uncharacterized. The record is from RefSeq and is a predicted model, not a curated record. Lineage: Eukaryota; Metazoa; Chordata; Mammalia; Pholidota; Manidae. The transcript has 4 exons.